CCUGCCUCACUCACAAGGGCCGCUUAAGCACAGCUGCAGCCUGGUCAGUGUCCAGCUUGUACUCUGGGCUCCUGCAGGGCCCUGAUCCUGCACACCAUUGGCUGGCACUUGAGGGCAGAUGGAGACUUAAUAUGCGAAGGUAACUGUGUCUCUGGAUUAUGUUGGGUUUCAUGGUGCUUGGCAGAGAGUCUGGCUCGUAGACUCGUUGGCUGGAGGUGUGUACAGUUACUCCAGGUUAGGUAGGUACUGAGUAGGUACUGAGAGGGAAGAUCCAGGCAUGAUGAGAACUGAUAAUUCCUGAACAGGAGCCCAGGCGUACACAAAACAUAACCCCUCAGUUAAGGCAGCAUUGGUUUUCCU
This 360-nucleotide long non-coding RNA is filed under the name Bos taurus (domestic cattle). RNAcentral's name for it is "long non-coding RNA NONBTAT009103". Lineage: Eukaryota; Metazoa; Chordata; Mammalia; Artiodactyla; Bovidae. The record is from RNAcentral.